This 253-nucleotide ribosomal RNA is filed under the name uncultured bacterium. Its description in RNAcentral is "partial 16S ribosomal RNA". It matches the Rfam family "Bacterial small subunit ribosomal RNA", at positions 524 to 776 of the family's 1533-position model. The record is from RNAcentral.
UACGGGGGGGGCAAGCGUUGUUCGGAAUUACUGGGCGUAAAGGGCUCGUAGGCGGCCAACUAAGUCAGACGUGAAAUCCCCAGGCUCAACCUGGGAACUGCGUCUGAUACUGGAUGGCUUGAAUCCGGGGGAGGGAUGCAGAAUUCCAGGUGUAGCGGUGAAAUGCGUAGAUAUCUGGAGGAAUACCGGUGGCGAAGGCGGCAUCCUGGACCGGCAUUGACGCUGAGGAGCGAAAGCAUGGGGAGCGAACAGG